CUCAACGGUACAGAAACACUGUUUUGGCAGAAGCGCAGAAGUUAGCUCGGAAGCGCAGGCUGAAUAGCAUGCAUGAAAGACCAGCUUAUGCUAAGAAACCCUGUUAUUCAGUGUCAUCGUGCGGCACAAGGUAUGUACUGUAUAUGAAUACGCUCUCGCUUACUCAGGGG
This is a long non-coding RNA of Xenopus laevis (African clawed frog), 170 nucleotides long. RefSeq lists it as uncharacterized. The record is from RefSeq and is a predicted model, not a curated record. NCBI's taxonomy places the organism in Eukaryota, Metazoa, Chordata, Amphibia, Anura, Pipidae. The transcript has 3 exons.